RNAcentral lists this ribosomal RNA (405 nucleotides) under uncultured soil bacterium. RNAcentral's name for it is "bacterial SSU rRNA". It matches the Rfam family "Bacterial small subunit ribosomal RNA", at positions 26 to 452 of the family's 1533-position model. The record is from RNAcentral.
AGAACGAACGCUGGCGGCAUGCCUAAUACAUGCAAGUCGAACGAACACUUCGGUGUUAGUGGCGCACGGGUGCGUAACGCGUGGGAAUCUGCCCUUGGGUUCGGAAUAACAGUUGGAGACGACUGCUAAUACCGGAUGAUAUCGAAAGAUCAAAGAUUUAUCGCCCAGGGAUGAGCCCGCGUAGGAUUAGCUAGUUGGUGAGGUAAAGGCUCACCAAGGCGACGAUCCUUAGCUGGUCUGAGAGGAUGAUCAGCCACACUGGGACUGAGACACGGCCCAGACUCCUACUGGAGGCAGCAGUAGGAAUAGUGGACAAGUGGGCGCAAGCCUGAUCCGAGCAAUCGGCCGCGUGAGUGAGUGGAAGGUCCGUUAGGGUUAGUAAAGUCUUACUUACUACCCGAGAUA